GGCCCGGUGGCGGAAUUGGCAGACGCUAGGGAUUUAAAAUCCCUUGUCCUUCGGGACGUGCGGGUUCAAAUCCCGCCCGGGCCA
Molecule: transfer RNA, 84 nt
Filed under: Phycisphaerae bacterium
Lineage: Bacteria; Pseudomonadati; Planctomycetota; Phycisphaerae
Also listed under: 1 other name
Description: tRNA-Leu
Rfam family: tRNA
About the family: Transfer RNA (tRNA) molecules are approximately 80 nucleotides in length. Their secondary structure includes four short double-helical elements and three loops (D, anti-codon, and T loops). Further hydrogen bonds mediate the characteristic L-shaped molecular structure. tRNAs have two regions of fundamental functional importance: the anti-codon, which is responsible for specific mRNA codon recognition, and the 3' end, to which the tRNAs corresponding amino acid is attached (by aminoacyl-tRNA synthetases). tRNAs cope with the degeneracy of the genetic code in two manners: having more than one tRNA (with a specific anti-codon) for a particular amino acid; and 'wobble' base-pairing, i.e. permitting non-standard base-pairing at the 3rd anti-codon position.
Source: RNAcentral